UACGUAGGGUGCGAGCGUUAAUCGGAAUUAUUGGGCGUAAAGAGCUUGUAGGCGGUUUGUCGCGUCUGCUGUGAAAUUUCGGGGCUCAACCCCGAACUUGCAGUGGGUACGGGCAGACUAGAGUGUGGUAGGGGAGACUGGAAUUCCUGGUGUAGCGGUGAAAUGCGCAGAUAUCAGGAGGAACACCGAUGGCGAAGGCAGGUCUCUGGGCCAUAACUGACGCUGAGAAGCGAAAGCAUGGGGAGCGAACAGG
Molecule: ribosomal RNA, 253 nt
Filed under: uncultured bacterium
Lineage: Bacteria
Description: partial 16S ribosomal RNA
Rfam family: Bacterial small subunit ribosomal RNA
Source: RNAcentral